GGUCAAUCAAGAAGAAGACAAAGGACAGGUGGGGCCUGGGACAGCUCCAAACCAGCAGGUUUCUGGUGAAGGCUCUGGGAGCCUGAGUUUUAAUCCUGCCUCCCCCACUGAGAUGCUACUGUAGGAUUUUAAGCCUUGCACUUAACUGCCAGUUGCAUCUGCUUCUGGGAAACGAGGAGGAACAGAUUUCAGCAAAGAAGAAAAGGUUGGAAUAUGUGGGGAAGAGAGAAAUUAUAAGAAAACGCAUUCAAAGGACAGAAGCUGGAGAUGGGUCAGCUGUCAGUCAAAUGAAGAUUCCUUUUGGAAUGUGCCCUGGAAAAGCAGUUUGGAGUCAAGCCAACUGCUGGACUUUUUCUGGGGCUUUGGGCUUUCUGGCUGAGCUGAAGGAAAAAGCUGGUUUUAUCUCUGGGACUUGGGAUAAUCAAGCUGGAGGUGGCCUGGCAGAAGAAGAAGGCAGAAAAACUUAAUUUCAUAGAAGAAGAGAUUGAGGCAAAUGAUGGUCAGUGUAUCAUGGAAUACUAUUGCACAGUAAGAAAUGAUGAAAGGGAUUGUUUCAGAGAAACCUGGGAAGACGUGUAAAUGGAUGAAAAGUGAAGGAUGUCUCUGUGGGAAGAAGAGGAGGCAUACAGGGAUAAAUCUAGGUGAAAUGAAGACAAAAAAGGGAGCAAGAGAAAAAAGAAAGAAACUAUAUACUUACAAUCACAAAAUUGGACCCCAAAGAACAGAUGAGAAAUAUAUCUCCUUCCUUUCUUCACAGUGCUGUGGAAUUUAUGGGUAUGAAACACUAAGUAUGCUAUCAGACUCAUUUGAUAUUUUGGUGAGUUUUUCAAGAAUUGUUUUCAUCUUUCUUUGUUAUCUUUUGUUAUAAGGAAUGGCUUUCUAGGUAAAGAAGGAAAACAAAUGUAUUUGGAAUGAAAAUGAAAUAAAAUAAUAAAAAUAAAUAUAUC
RNAcentral lists this long non-coding RNA (947 nucleotides) under Monodelphis domestica (gray short-tailed opossum). RNAcentral describes it as "lncRNA (ENSMODG00000033667.2)". The record is from RNAcentral. Lineage: Eukaryota; Metazoa; Chordata; Mammalia; Didelphimorphia; Didelphidae.